ACUGGAUAGAGGAAGCCCUUAGUUUAUACAGGAUCCAGACUGGAUAGAGGAAGCCCUUAGUUUAUACAGGAUCCAGACUGGAUAGAGGAAGCCCUUAGUUUAUACAGGAUCCAGACUGGAUAGAGGAAGCCCUUAGUUUAUACAGGAUCCAGACUGGAUAGAGGAAGCCCUUAGUUUAUACAGGAUCCAGACUGGAUAGAGGAAGCCCUUAGUUUAUACAGGAUCCAGACUGGAUAGAGGAAGCCCUUAGUUUAUAUAGGAUUCAGACUGGAUAGAGGAAGCCCUUAGUUUAUAUAGGAUCCAGACUGGAUAGAGGAAGCCCUUAGUUUAUACAGGAUCCAGACUGGAUAGAGGAAGCCCUUAGUUUAUACAGGAUCCAGACUGGAUAGAGGAAGCCCUUAGUUUAUAUAGGAUUCAGACUGGAUAGAGGAAGCCCUUAGUUUAUACAGGAUCCAGACUGGAUAGAGGAAGCCCUUAGUUUAUACAGGAUCCAGACUGGAUAGAGGAAGCCCUUAGUUUAUAUAGGAUUCAGACUGGAUAGAGGAAGCCCUUAGUUUAUACAGGAUCCAGACUGGAUAGAGGAAGCCCUUAGUUUAUAUAGGAUUCAGACUGGAUAGAGGAAGCCCUUAGUUUAUACAGGAUCCAGACUGGAUAGAGGAAGCCCUUAGUUUAUACAGGAUCCAGAGUGAAUAGAUGAAGCCCUUAGUUUAUACAGGAUCCAGACUGGAUAGAGGAAGCCCUUAGUUUAUACAGGAUCCAGACUGGAUAGAGGAAACCCUUAGUUUAUACAGGAUCCAGACUGGAUAGAGGAAGCCCUUAGAUUAUACAGGAUCCAGACUGAAUAGAUGAAGCCCUUAGUUUAUACAGGAUCCAGACUGGAUAGAGGAAGCCCUUAGUUUAUACAGGAUCCAGACUGGAUAGAGGAAGCCCUUAGUUUAUAUAGGAUUCAGACUGGAUAGAGGAAGCCCUUAGUUUAUACAGGAUCCAGAGUGAAUAGAUGAAGCCCUUAGUUUAUACAGGAUCCAGACUGGAUAGAGGAAGCCCUUAGUUUAUACAGGAUCCAGACUGGAUAGAGGAAACCCUUAGUUUAUACAGGAUCCAGACUGGAUAGAGGAAGCCCUUAGAUUAUACAGGAUCCAGACUGAAUAGAUGAAGCCCUUAGUUUAUAUAGGGUCCAGACUGGAUAGAGGAAGCCCUUAGUUUAUACAGGAUCCAGACUGGAUAGAUGAAGCCCUUAGUUUAUACAGGAUCCAGACUGGAUAGAGGAAGCCCUUUGUUUAUACAGGAUCCAGACUGGAUAGAGGAACUCUUACUUCAGACUGUAACAUUACAUCCUGUCUGUGUGGUGUCUCAGGCAGACCUUUAGUCGACCCUGGGGGACUCUUACUUCAGACUGUAACAUUACAUCCUGUCUGUGUGGUGUCUCAGGCAGACCUGCAGUCGACCCUGGGGGACUCUUACUUCAGACUGUAACAUUACAUCCUGUCUGUGUGGUGUCUCAGGCAGACCUUUAGUCGACCCUGGGGGACUCUUACUUCAGACUGUAACAUUACAUCCUGUCUGUGUGGUGUCUCAGGCAGACCUGCAGUCGACCCUGGGGGACUCUUACUUCAGACUGUAACAUUACAUCCUGUCUGUGUUGUGUCUCAGGCAGACCUGCAGUCGACCCUGGGGGACUCUUACUUCAGACUGUAACAUUACAUCCUGUCUGUGUGGUGUCUCAGGCAGACCUUUAGUCGACCCUGGGGGACUCUUACUUCAGACUGUAACAUUACAUCCUGUCUGUGUGGUGUCUCAGGCAGACCUUUAGUCGACCCUGGGGGACUCUUACUUCAGACUAACAUUACAUCCUGUCUGUGUGGUGUCUCAGGCAGACCUGCAGUCGACCCUGGGGGACUCUUACUUCAGACUGUAACAUUACAUCCUGUCUGUGUUGUGUCUCAGGCAGACCUUUAGUCGACCCUGGGGGACUCUUACUUCAGACUAACAUUACAUCCUGUCUGUGUGGUGUCUCAGGCAGACCUUUAGUCGACCCUGGGGGACUCUUACUUCAGACUGUAACAUUACAUCCUGUCUGUGUGGUGUCUCAGGCAGACCUUUAGUCGACCCUGGGGGACUCUUACUUCAGACUGUAACAUUACAUCCUGUCUGUGUGGUGUCUCAGGCAGACCUUUAGUCGACCCUGGGGGACUCUUACUUCAGACUGUAACAUUACAUCCUGUCUGUGUGGUGUCUCAGGCAGACCUUUAGUCGACCCUGGGGGACUCUUACUUCAGACUGUAACAUUACAUCCUGUCUGUGUGGUGUCUCAGGCAGACCUUUAGUCGACCCUGGGGGACUCUUACUUCAGACUGUAACAUUACAUCCUGUCUGUGUGGUGUCUCAGGCAGACCUUUAGUCGACCCUGGGGGACUCUUACUUCAGACUGUAACAUUACAUCCUGUCUGUGUGGUGUCUCAGGCAGACCUGCAGUCGACCCUGGGGGACGCGGGGUACAUCGUGUUUGGGGUGAUUCUGUUUGUCUGGGAGCUGCUGCCUACCUCCCUGGUCGUCUACUUUUUCAGGGUCCGACAGCCCAACCAGGACAAGAGUGGGACGGGACUCCCAGGACACGUCUUCUCGUCCAGGGCCUAUUUCUUUGACAACCCUCAACGUUAUGACAGCGAUGACGACCUGGUAUGGAGCAUCAUCCCUCACAACAAACAGGCCAGUUUGACAGCAGACAGCUAUGACUGCAGCAGCAGCACAGCCCCGCCCCCAGAGGAGCUCAACCCUUAUUGAAGACUUCCUAUUGGUCCUGAACCUUAUUUAAGAGCUUGGAUUUGUUCCGGAACUUUUACAAGAGCUCCUAUUGGUCCGGAGCUCUUUUUGAAGUCUUCCUGAUGGCCCUGUCUCUUUUUUUUGCACACGCCUACACUGAUGACCUCACACCUGAGGGCCUCGGAUCGAGACACGGGGGUGAAUAUCAUCAUGGAUUUUAUUCAUUCUAUUUUCUACUAUUUUGAUAAAUAAAGUCUUUAGUAAAAAAGUUCAUACAUAUUUUCUAAAGGGCAGUAAGUAUUGAGAUGAUGGUCUUAGGGGGCAUACAUAACUUUCACAAACAAAUAGGAAUAUGUAUAAAGGUUUAUAAUCAAGGUGUACAACAUUGGCAGCUAAGAGCUGAAUUGCACUUUACAGUCCAUCUGAAUAUGCAUUACCUUAAUCCACUAUUUUAAAAACAUGUUUACUGUUUAGAAGCCAACAUGACGAAUAAGAUAACUCAUAUACAGGUGUUUCCUAAUCUUGUAUGUAAUAUGUAUCCAUUUAUAUUCUCAAUGUCUCCUUUUCAUGUUUUUAACACAAGCCGCUAAAAUGGUUGACAGGCAUUAGGGAGGAGAUGUACUGUACAUGUGUUCUGGUCUUUACAAUCCUCUCUCACAUUGGAGUCUCCAUAAUAAAAACUAUUUUAUAAAACACAUUGAUUGUGCUUUAGGACAGUGUGGUGGAACAUUCUAAUUCUAUAGGUGGAACAUUCUAAUUCUAUAGGUUGAACAUUGUAAUUAUAUAGGUGGAACACAUUCUCGUUCUACAGGUGGAACACAUUCUAAUUCUAUAUGUGGAACACAUUCUAAUUCUAUAGGUGGAAGAUUCUAAUUCUAUAGUGGAACACAUUCUAAUUCUAUAGGUGGAACAUUCUAAUUCUAUAGGUUGAACAUUCUAAUUAUAUAGGUGGAACACAUUCUAAUUAUAUAGGUGCAACACAUUCUAAUUUUAUAGGUGGAACACAUUCUAUUUCUAUAUGUGGAACACAUUCUAAUUCUAUAGGUGGAACAUUCUAAUUCUAUAGGUGGACCAUUCUAAUUAUAUAGGUGGAACACAUUCUAAUUCUAUAGGUGGAACAUUCUAUUUCUAUAGGUGGAACACAUUCUAAUUCUAUAGGUGCAACACAUUCUAAUUUUAUAGGUGGAACACAUUCUAUUUCUAUAGGUGGAACAUUCUAAUUCUAUAGUGGAACACAUUCUAAUUCUAUAGGUGGAACAUUCUAAUUCUAUAGGUUGAACAUUCUAAUUAUAUAGGUGGAACACAUUCUAAUUAUAUAGGUGCAACACAUUCUAAUUCUAUAGGUGGAACAUUCUAUUUCUAUAGGUGGAACAUUCUAAUUCUAUAGGUGGAACACAUUCUAAUUCUAUAGGUGUAACAUUCUAAUUCUAUAGGUGGAACACAUUCUAAUUCUAUAGGUGCAACACAUUCUAAUUAUAUAGGUGCAACAUUCUAAUUCUAUAUGUGGAACACAUUCUAAUUCUGUAGGUGGAACAUUCUAAUUCUACAGGUGGAAGAUUCUAAUUCUAUAGGUGGAACACAUUCUAAUUCUAUAGGUGGAACACAUUCUAAUUCUAUAGAUGGAACAUUCAAAUUCUAUAGGUGGAACAUUCUAAUUCUAUAGGUGGAACACAUUCUAAUUCUAUAGGUGGAACAUUCUAAUUCUAUAUGUGGAACAUUCUAAUUCUAUAGGUGGAACACAUUCUAAUUCUAUAGGUGCAACACAUUCUAAUUAUAUAGGUGGAACAUUGUGAUUCUAUAUGUGGAACACAUUCUAAUUCUGUAGGUGGAACAUUCUAAUUCUACAGGUGGAAGAUUCUAAUUCAAUAGGUGGAACACAUUCUAAUUCUAUAGGUGGAACACAUUCUAAUUCUAUAGAUGGAACAUUCAAAUUCUAUAGGUGGAACAUUCUAAUUCUACAGGUGGAACACAUUCUAAUUCUAUAGGUGGAACAUUCUAAUUCUAUAUGUGGAACAUUCUAAUUCUAUAGGUGGAACACAUUCUAAUUCUAUAGGUGCAACACAUUCUAAUUAUAUAGGUGGAACAUUGUGAUUCUAUAUGUGGAACACAUUCUAAUUCUGUAGGUGGAACAUUCUAAUUCUACAGGUGGAAGAUUCUAAUUCAAUAGGUGGAACACAUUCUAAUUCUAUAGGUGGAACACAUUCUAAUUCUAUAGAUGGAACAUUCAAAUUCUAUAGGUGGAACAUUCUAAUUCUAUAGGUGGAACACAUUCUAAUUCUUUAGGUGGAAAACAUUCUAAUUCUAUAUGUGGAACAUUCUAAUUCUAUAGGUGGAACACAUUCUAAUUCUAUAGGUGCAACACAUUCUAAUUAUAUAGGUGGAACAUUGUGAUUCUAUAUGUGGAACACAUUCUAAUUCUGUAGGUGGAACAUUCUAAUUCUACAGGUGGAAGAUUCUAAUUCAAUAGGUGGAACACAUUCUAAUUCUAUAGGUGGAACACAUUCUAAUUCUAUAGAUGGAACAUUCAAAUUCUAUAGGUGGAACAUUCUAAUUCUACAGGUGGAACACAUUCUAAUUCUAUAGGUGGAA
Salvelinus namaycush (lake trout) is the source of this 5349-nucleotide long non-coding RNA. RefSeq lists it as uncharacterized. The record is from RefSeq and is a predicted model, not a curated record. The transcript has 4 exons. Lineage: Eukaryota; Metazoa; Chordata; Actinopteri; Salmoniformes; Salmonidae.